Molecule: non-coding RNA, 193 nt
Submitted as: unclassified sequences
Source: Rfam
CUUGAUUCCGACUAACAAUCAACUGCAGACGGGAGUUAGAGAGGUCAAGAAGGAAGAGCCCAUAGGGUGAAAGCGUUACUAAGAGUCGACGAUAAAAAAGAGCUUAGCAACCCACCAAGAGUUUAAGAGAAAAAACUCAAGGAGCCAGAGAAAAUCUCACUUUGGACCCCUAAGGAUCUCGAACUUAAAGAAA